This 347-nucleotide ribosomal RNA is filed under the name Lignosus rhinocerus. Its description in RNAcentral is "Lignosus rhinocerotis partial 28S ribosomal RNA". It matches the Rfam family "Eukaryotic large subunit ribosomal RNA", at positions 438 to 761 of the family's 3401-position model. Lineage: Eukaryota; Fungi; Basidiomycota; Agaricomycetes; Polyporales; Polyporaceae. The record is from RNAcentral.
GGGUUUGCGGGACUCAGCCUUGCUUUUUUCCGCUUGGUGCACUUUCCGGUUGGACGGGCCAGCAUCGAUUUUGACCGUCGGAGAAGGGCUGGAGAAAUGUGGCACCUUUUUGGGUGUGUAAUAGUCUUCAGUCCCAUGCGUCGGUGGGAAUCGAGAAACGCAGCGGGCCCCCCAAGGCGAAGGAGGAACCCCUUCACUAUUCGCGCUUAGGAUGCUGGCAUAAUGGUUUUAAACAACCCGUCUUGAAACACGGACCAGGGAGUCUAACAUACCUGCGAGUGUUUGGGGGGAAAACCCGAGCGCGAAAUGAAAGUGAAAGUUGAAACCUCUGUCGUGGAGGGCAUCAA